RNAcentral lists this ribosomal RNA (429 nucleotides) under bacterium. RNAcentral describes it as "partial 16S ribosomal RNA". It matches the Rfam family "Bacterial small subunit ribosomal RNA", at positions 355 to 776 of the family's 1533-position model. The record is from RNAcentral.
UAGGGAAUCUUCCACAAUGGACGCAAGUCUGAUGGAGCAACGCCGCGUGAGUGAAGAAGGUUUUCGGAUCGUAAAGCUCUGUUGUUGGUGAAGAAGGAUAGAGGUAGUAACUGGCCUUUAUUUGACGGUAAUCAACCAGAAAGUCACGGCUAACUACGUGCCAGCAGCCGCGGUAAUACGUAGGUGGCAAGCGUUGUCCGGAUUUAUUGGGCGUAAAGCGAGCGCAGGCGGAAGAAUAAGUCUGAUGUGAAAGCCCUCGGCUUAACCGAGGAACUGCAUCGGAAUCUGUUUUUCUUGAGUGCAGAAGAGGAGAGUGGAAUUCCAUGUGUAGCGGUGGAAUGCGUAGAUAUAUGGAAGAACACCAGUGGCGAAGGCGACUCUCUGGUCUGCAACUGACGCUGAGGCUCGAAAGCAUGGGUAGCGAACAGG